RNAcentral lists this ribosomal RNA (957 nucleotides) under Mycoplasma sp. Saa1c. Its description in RNAcentral is "bacterial SSU rRNA". It matches the Rfam family "Bacterial small subunit ribosomal RNA", at positions 354 to 1317 of the family's 1533-position model. Lineage: Bacteria; Bacillati; Mycoplasmatota; Mollicutes; Mycoplasmatales; Mycoplasmataceae. The record is from RNAcentral.
GUAGGGAAUAUUCCACAAUGAGCGAAAGCUUGAUGGAGCGACACAGCGUGCACGAUGAAGGUCUUCGGAUUGUAAAGUGCUGUUAUAAGGGAAGAACACUACAUUGAGGAAAUGCUUUGUAGCUGACGGUACCUUGUCAGAAAGCGAUGGCUAACUAUGUGCCGGCAGCCGCGGUAAUACAUAGGUCGCAAGCGUUAUCCGGAAUUAUUGGGCGUAAAGCGUUCGUAGGCUGUUUAUUAAGUCUGGAGUCAAAUCCCGGGGCUCAACCCCGGCUCGCUUUGGAUACUGGUAAACUAGAGUUAGAUAGAGGUAAGCGGAAUUCCAUGUGAAGCGGUGAAAUGCGUAGAUAUAUGGAAGAACACCAAAGGCGAAGGCAGCUUACUGGGUCUAUACUGACGCUGAGGGACGAAAGCGUGGGGAGCAAACAGGAUUAGAUACCCUGGUAGUCCACGCUGUAAACGAUGAUCAUUAGUCGGUGGAGAGUUCACUGACGCAGCUAACGCAUUAAAUGAUCCGCCUGAGUAGUAUGCUCGCAAGAGUGAAACUUAAAGGAAUUGACGGGGACCCGCACAAGCGGUGGAGCAUGUGGUUUAAUUUGAAGAUACACGGAGAACCUUACCCACUCUUGACAUCUUCCGCAAAGCUAUAGAGAUAUAGUGGAGGUUAACGGAAUGACAGAUGGUGCAUGGUUGUCGUCAGCUCGUGUCGUGAGAUGUUUGGUCAAGUCCUGCAACGAGCGCAACCCCUAUCUUUAGUUACUAACGAGUCAUGUCGAGGACUCUAGAGAUACUGCCUGGGUAACUGGGAGGAAGGUGGGGAUGACGUCAAAUCAUCAUGCCUCUUACGAGUGGGGCAACACACGUGCUACAAUGGUCGGUACAAAGAGAAGCAAUAUGGUGACAUGGAGCAAAUCUCAAAAAGCCGAUCUCAGUUCGGAUUGGAGUCUGCAAUUCGACU